RNAcentral lists this small RNA (27 nucleotides) under Vibrio cholerae O1 biovar El Tor str. N16961. Lineage: Bacteria; Pseudomonadati; Pseudomonadota; Gammaproteobacteria; Vibrionales; Vibrionaceae. The record is from RNAcentral.
AUUCCAUUGAAAAAGAAAUGCCCAUCA